This 1243-nucleotide ribosomal RNA is filed under the name 'Camelina' aster yellows phytoplasma. RNAcentral describes it as "bacterial SSU rRNA". It matches the Rfam family "Bacterial small subunit ribosomal RNA", at positions 154 to 1399 of the family's 1533-position model. Lineage: Bacteria; Bacillati; Mycoplasmatota; Mollicutes; Acholeplasmatales; Acholeplasmataceae. The record is from RNAcentral.
GAACGACUGCUAAGACUGGAUAGUAGACAAGAAGGCAUCUUCUUGUUUUUAAAGACCUAUUAAUAGGUAUGCUUAGGGAGGAGCUUGCGUCACAUUAGUUAGUUGGUGGGGUAAAGGCCUACCAAGACUAUGAUGUGUAGCCGGGCUGAGAGGUUGAACGGCCACAUUGGGACUGAGACACGGCCCAAACUCCUACGGGAGGCAGCAGUAGGGAAUUUUCGGCAAUGGAGGAAACUCUGACCGAGCAACGCCGCGUGAACGAUGAAGUAUUUCGGUACGUAAAGUUCUUUUAUUAGGGAAGAAUAAAUGAUGGAAAAAUCAUUCUGACGGUACCUAAUGAAUAAGCCCCGGCUAACUAUGUGCCAGCAGCCGCGGUAAUACAUAGGGGGCAAGCGUUAUCCGGAAUUAUUGGGCGUAAAGGGUGCGUAGGCUGUUAAAUAAGUUUAUGGUCUAAGUGCAAUGCUCAACAUUGUGAUGCUAUAAAAACUGUUUAGCUAGAGUAAGAUAGAGGCAAGUGGAAUUCCAUGUGUAGUGGUAAAAUGCGUAAAUAUAUGGAGGAACACCAGUAGCGAAGGCGGCUUGCUGGGUCUUUACUGACGCUGAGGCACGAAAGCGUGGGGAGCAAACAGGAUUAGAUACCCUGGUAGUCCACGCCGUAAACGAUGAGUACUAAACGUUGGGUAAAACCAGUGUUGAAGUUAACACAUUAAGUACUCCGCCUGAGUAGUACGUACGCAAGUAUGAAACUUAAAGGAAUUGACGGGACUCCGCACAAGCGGUGGAUCAUGUUGUUUAAUUCGAAGGUACCCGAAAAACCUCACCAGGUCUUGACAUGCUUCUGCAAAGCUGUAGAAACACAGUGGAAGGUAUCAGUUGCACAGGUGGUGCAUGGUUGUCGUCAGCUCGUGUCGUGAGAUGUUGGGGUUAGUCCCGCAACGAGCGCAACCCUUUAUGUUAGUUUGCAGCACGUAAUGGUGGGGACUUUAGCAGACUGCCAGUGAUAAAUUGGAGAAAGGUGGGGACGACGUCAAAUCAUCACGCCCCUUAUGACCUGGGCUACAAACGUGAUACAAUGGCUGUUACAAAGGGUAGCUGAAACGCAAGUUUUUGGCGAAUCUCAAAAAAACAGUCUCAGUUCGGAUUGAAGUCUGCAACUCGACUUCAUGAAGUUGGAAUCGCUAGUAAUCGCGAAUCAGCAUGUCGCGGUGAAUACGUUCACGGGGUUUGUACACACCGCCCGUCA